This 85-nucleotide transfer RNA is filed under the name candidate division CSSED10-310 bacterium. RNAcentral describes it as "tRNA-Leu". It matches the Rfam family "tRNA". Rfam says of the family: Transfer RNA (tRNA) molecules are approximately 80 nucleotides in length. Their secondary structure includes four short double-helical elements and three loops (D, anti-codon, and T loops). The record is from RNAcentral. Lineage: Bacteria; candidate division CSSED10-310.
GCCGGAGUGGUGAAACUGGCAGACGCGCUGGACUCAAAAUCCAGUGGGCUAAUAGCCCGUGUCGGUUCGAGUCCGACCUCCGGCA